ACAGUAUUCUGCACAUUGGUUA
Molecule: microRNA, 22 nt
Filed under: Pongo pygmaeus (Bornean orangutan)
Lineage: Eukaryota; Metazoa; Chordata; Mammalia; Primates; Hominidae
Description: ppy-miR-199b-3p
Gene: ppy-miR-199b-3p
Source: miRBase by way of RNAcentral